This 253-nucleotide ribosomal RNA is filed under the name uncultured bacterium. Its description in RNAcentral is "partial 16S ribosomal RNA". It matches the Rfam family "Bacterial small subunit ribosomal RNA", at positions 524 to 776 of the family's 1533-position model. The record is from RNAcentral.
UACGGAGGGUGCAAGCGUUAUCCGGAUUUACUGGGUUUAAAGGGUGUGUAGGCGGACUUUUAAGUCCGUGGUGAAAUCUCCGGGCUCAACCCGAAAACUGCCAUGGAUACUAUUGGUCUUGAAUAUUGUUGAGGUGGGCGGAACGGGUCAUGUAGCGGUGAAAUGCAUAGAUAUGACCCGGAACACCGAUUGCGAAGGCAGCCCACUAAGCAAUGAUUGACGCUGAGGCACGAAAGCGUGGGGAUCAAACAGG